RNAcentral lists this ribosomal RNA (484 nucleotides) under uncultured bacterium. Its description in RNAcentral is "partial 16S ribosomal RNA". It matches the Rfam family "Bacterial small subunit ribosomal RNA", at positions 30 to 507 of the family's 1533-position model. The record is from RNAcentral.
AUUGAACGCUGGCGGCAGGCCUAACACAUGCAAGUCGAGCGGAUGAAGGGAGCUUGCUCCUGGAUUCAGCGGCGGACGGGUGAGUAAUGCCUAGGAAUCUGCCUGGUAGUGGGGGAUAACGUCCGGAAACGGGCGCUAAUACCGCAUACGUCCUGAGGGAGAAAGUGGGGGAUCGUCGGACCUCACGCUAUCAGAUGAGCCUAGGCCGGAUUAGCUAGUUGGUGGGGUAAAGGCCUACCAAGGCGACGAUCCGUAACUGGUCUGAGAGGAUGAUCAGUCACACGGGAACUGAGACACGGUCCAGGCUCCUACGGGAGGCAGCAGUGGGGAAUGUUGGACAGUGGGCGAGAGCCUGAUCCAGCCAUGCCGCGUGUGUGAAGAAGGUCUUCGGAUUGUAAAGCACUUUAAGUUGGGGGGAAGGGCAGUAAGUUGAUACCUUGCUGUUUUGACGUUACCGGCAGAAUAAGCACCGGCUAACUACGUG